Molecule: ribosomal RNA, 492 nt
Filed under: uncultured bacterium
Lineage: Bacteria
Description: partial 16S ribosomal RNA
Rfam family: Bacterial small subunit ribosomal RNA
Source: RNAcentral
AGUGAACGCUGGCGGUAGGCCUAACACAUGCAAGUCGAACGGCAGCACAGUAAGAGCUUGCUCUUACGGGUGGCGAGUGGCGGACGGGUGAGGAAUACAUCGGAAUCUACUUUUUCGUGGGGGAUAACGUAGGGAAACUUACGCUCAUACCGCAUACGACCUACGGGUGAAAGCAGGGGAUCUUCGGACCUUGCGCGAUUGAAUGAGCCGAUGUCGGAUUAGCUAGUUGGCGGGGUAAAGGCCCACCAAGGCGACGAUCCGUAGCUGGUCUGAGAGGAUGAUCAGCCACACUGGAACUGAGACACGGUCCAGACUCCUACGGGAGGCAGCAGUGGGGAAUAUUGGACAAUGGGCGCAUGCCUGAUCCAGCCAUACCGCGUGGGUGAAGAAGGCCUUCGGGUUGUAAAGCCCUUUUGUUGGGAAAGAAAAGCAGCAGGUUAAUACCCCGCUGUUCUGACGGUACCCAAAGAAUAAGCACCGGCUAACUUCGUG